AUGGAGAUGACUCUGUUGUCCAUCACAGUGUGUUUCACUCAGUUCCUCAUUGCCUCAGCUCUUUAUUUCAAGACACUGCCACCAAACACCCUUAGCGACUACACUGAAACCACACAAAUAACUCCAGCAACAACAAAAACAAACCCAGAACCUAAGAUCCUUAUAUAUGCAACCUCUCCGUCACCUCUGAACGCAACAACACAGGACAGCAUAACAAAUUUGCCCAGUGAAGUGCAUACACAGCCAAAUACAACACCAAAUGUGACACUCACACAGGAAACAGCAUCCCUGCAUCAAGACAACAGCAGUAGUCCAUCUCAAAAUGACAUGAUGGAUGAUGGCGUGAGUGUUAGCCAUGUUGCUAUGAGCCAUGCGAAUACAAGUCAUACAACAGUUUCCACUAACUUUGCAAGACUGACGCCACAAAAGGAUGACAGUAAUGAAACAGGAACAAUGUCAAGUGUGAGUUACAACUAUGAAGGGCACACUGUUCAGACUGCAGACACCUUAUCAGACCCAGUGGACAGUGUCUCAACAGUUCCCUGGAGACAUUCGACAGAGAAAGAGGAUGAGAGAACGAAGGCAGAUGAAGGAAAUUAUGAAACUAACUCCACCCAGGCCACAUUUGCUAAUACGAACGAGGAGUUGAGAGAAACACGAGGCACUGAGGGAACUUACAGGUUAACAAGUGAACACAGAGAGGAACAUUACGACACAGCAGCGAAUACAACCGAUGUAAGUGCUACAACAGCAACAGGGAGUAACGAAUGGUCAAUUUCACAAAACACAGAUAUUCACAUGACCACACCGGCUUACACAACAGCACAAGACCCAACGGUUACAGAUGUGCCAUAUCACACCUCAGUAAGUGGCGGAAAACACUCUACGACGCCACAGAAUAUAUACAGGCUCACAAACUCUACAGCACCCACAGGAAGAGAAAACAGGACAGGAACAGACACACCCGGUGGUACCACCACCAACAUCAACAUCUCUAUUAUAACUGAUGUCCUAACUGACAGCAGCCUAAAUGCCACAACCAACAGAACAAACAAAACUGACACAGAAAACAAAGUGUGGACUGCAUGUUUGAACCCAAACCCAGAAUCUCAUUCUCGGCAAUCCAGGCUGGUCUGCUUCAUCACAGUGUGGACUUUAGCAAUGACCGCCACCAUAUUUCUAGGAAUAACCAUUUUCCUUUUGGUGCGUCUGUCUGUCUUCAGAAAAAAGAUGAAGCGGAGAGGGAAAGGAGGUCAGACAUGUGAGAAGGAGAGCCUCUGGGCCGACCCCAAAGCUUCAGUGCAGGAGAGAGUGGAGUUCUGGUACAUCAAUGGAUCCACGCUGGAGGCCGACAGCAAAGACAGAAAGAGACAGAAGAGGAUGAAGAGAAGAGGACAGGAACAGGAUAAUGAGGAGAAUGGGCUGUGGAUUCAGCCUAGAGUGACUGUCGAUGACAUAACAGAGUUCUGGUACGCAAACAGACGCAUGAAGGAAGAGAGGAUGCAGGACACGUAG
This is a long non-coding RNA of Sinocyclocheilus anshuiensis, 1515 nucleotides long. NCBI's taxonomy places the organism in Eukaryota, Metazoa, Chordata, Actinopteri, Cypriniformes, Cyprinidae. The record is from Ensembl.